This 537-nucleotide long non-coding RNA is filed under the name Brassica rapa (field mustard). RNAcentral's name for it is "long non-coding RNA (BRAP_LNC003475)". The record is from RNAcentral. Lineage: Eukaryota; Viridiplantae; Streptophyta; Magnoliopsida; Brassicales; Brassicaceae.
AAAUAUAUAAAAAACAUAGUUGUUUUAUAUGUCGCUGUUAAUAUUUAAAGGAGAAAAGUUCCAGAAACCAUGAUUUAAACGUUGUUUGAGAAAGAUUUUUUGUUACAACAAGAGAUGUAUGAGUUUUGAUCUAUAAGUACUCGAUUUGAUUCCUGAUUUAUGAAAAAGUGUUACAAAAAAAAAAAAAAGUACUCGAUUUGAUUAACCAUAUAAAAAUAAAAUAAAUAAAUAUAGCACGGUAGCACCAAGCUUGAAGUAUACGGUGCUCAAAAUAUUUUUGAAACAUGUCAUUAUUUAAAAAAUACCAUAGCUACUUUCUUCAGUUGAAAUAUGUUACCUGGAUUUACAAAGGACAACGAAGACCUAUCCAAAUUUUGUUGUCUAAUAUGUGCGCAAUUGAUUAUAAGUUUAUAACAUCAAGACCACAAGGGUACAACUGCGUGAGUGCGUGGCCAAAUCCAUGAUCUUCCACGAAUUUCGUCUUAUAGGUGUUACAUCAGUAUUUUGUAUUUUUUACGAUGAAAAGGUUCAUUGCGU